RNAcentral lists this ribosomal RNA (450 nucleotides) under uncultured bacterium. Its description in RNAcentral is "bacterial SSU rRNA". It matches the Rfam family "Bacterial small subunit ribosomal RNA", at positions 354 to 796 of the family's 1533-position model. The record is from RNAcentral.
GUGGGGAAUUUUGGACAAUGGGCGAAAGCCUGAUCCAGCCAUGCCGCGUGCAGGAUGAAGGCCUUCGGGUUGUAAACUGCUUUUGUACGGAACGAAAAGACUCCUUCUAAUAAAGGGGGUCCAUGACGGUACCGUAAGAAUAAGCACCGGCUAACUACGUGCCAGCAGCCGUGGUAAUACGUAGGGUGCAAGCGUUAAUCGGAAUUACUGGGCGUAAAGCGUGCGCAGGCGGUUAUAUAAGACAGAUGUGAAAUCCCCUGGCUCAACCUGGGAACUGCAUUUGUGACUGUAUAGCUAGAGUACGGUAGAGGGGGAUGGGAUUCCGCGUGUAGCAGUGAAAUGCGUAGAUAUGCGGAGGAACACCGAUGGCGAAGGCAAUCCCCUGGACCUGUACUGACGCUCAUGCACGAAAGCGUGGGGAGCAAACAGGAUUAGAUACCCCGGUAGUCC